UGGGGAAUUUUGGACAAUGGGCGAAAGCCUGAUCCAGCAAUGCCGCGUGUGUGAAGAAGGCCUUCGGGUUGUAAAGCACUUUUGUCCGGAAAGAAAUCCUUGGCUCUAAUACAGUCGGGGGAUGACGGUACCGGAAGAAUAAGCACCGGCUAACUACGUGCCAGCAGCCGCGGUAAUACGUAGGGUGCAAGCGUUAAUCGGAAUUACUGGGCGUAAAGCGUGCGCAGGCGGUUUGCUAAGACCGACGUGAAAUCCCCGGGCUCAACCUGGGAACUGCAUUGGUGACUGGCAGGCUAGAGUAUGGCAGAGGGGGGUAGAAUUCCACGUGUAGCAGUGAAAAUGCGUAGAGAUGUGGAGGAAUACCGAUGGCGAAGGCAGCCCCCUGGGCCAAAUACUGACGCUCAUGCACGAAAAGCGUGGGGGAGCAAAACAGGAUUAGAUACCCUGGUAGUCCACGCCCUAAAACGAUGUCAACUAGUUGUUGGGGAUUCAUUUCCUUAGUAACGUAGCUAACGCGUGAAGUUGACCGCCUGGGGAGUACGGUCGCAAAGAUUAAAAACUUAAAUGAAUUGACGGGGUCAUAGCUGUUUCCU
RNAcentral lists this ribosomal RNA (593 nucleotides) under uncultured bacterium. RNAcentral describes it as "partial 16S ribosomal RNA". It matches the Rfam family "Bacterial small subunit ribosomal RNA", at positions 355 to 1375 of the family's 1533-position model. The record is from RNAcentral.